This 74-nucleotide transfer RNA is filed under the name Richelia sp. RM2_1_2. Its description in RNAcentral is "tRNA-Asp". It matches the Rfam family "tRNA". From Rfam's summary of the family: Transfer RNA (tRNA) molecules are approximately 80 nucleotides in length. Their secondary structure includes four short double-helical elements and three loops (D, anti-codon, and T loops). Lineage: Bacteria; Bacillati; Cyanobacteriota; Cyanophyceae; Nostocales; Nostocaceae. The record is from RNAcentral.
GGGAAGGUAGCUUAACUGGUUAGAGUGUUGGUUUGUCAAGCCAAAAGAUAUGGGUUCAACUCCCUUUCUUCCCG